CCCUUAGAUGUUCUGGGCCGCACGCGCGCUACACUGCUCGACGCAGCGAGUCUUAACCUUGACCGAAAGGUUUGGGUAAUCUUCAGCAAAGUCGAACGUGAUGGGGAUCGAUCAUUGCAAUUAUUGAUCGUGAACGAGGAAUUCCUAGUAAGUGCAAGUCAUCAGCUUGCGCUGAUUACGUCCCUGCCCUUUGUACACACCGCCCGUCGCUACUACCGAUUGAAUGGUUUAGUGAGAUCUCUGGAUUGACGCUGGCUAGGGGGCGACCCUUGGCCAGACUGCUCGAGAAACUGCUCAAACUUGAUCAUUUAGAGGAAGUAAAAGUCGUAACA
This 332-nucleotide ribosomal RNA is filed under the name uncultured eukaryote. RNAcentral describes it as "partial 18S ribosomal RNA". It matches the Rfam family "Eukaryotic small subunit ribosomal RNA", at positions 1470 to 1796 of the family's 1831-position model. The record is from RNAcentral.